Molecule: ribosomal RNA, 292 nt
Filed under: uncultured Fonticella sp.
Lineage: Bacteria; Bacillati; Bacillota; Clostridia; Eubacteriales; Clostridiaceae
Description: partial 16S ribosomal RNA
Rfam family: Bacterial small subunit ribosomal RNA
Source: RNAcentral
GUGUCAGCCGCCGCGGUAAUACGUAGGUGGCGAGCGUUAUCCGGAAUUAUUGGGCGUAAAGGGUGCGUAGGCGGUUUUUUAAGUGGGAUGUGAAAUACCUAGGCUUAACUUAGGAAUGAUAUUCCAAACUGGAAGACUAGAGUGCAGGAGAGGAAAGUGGAAUUCCCAGUGUAGCGGUGAAAUGCGUAGAGAUUGGGAGGAACACCAGUGGCGAAGGCGACUUUCUGGACUGUAACUGACGCUGAGGCACGAAAGCGUGGGGAGCGAACAGGAUUAGAUACCCGUGUAGUCC